RNAcentral lists this ribosomal RNA (253 nucleotides) under uncultured bacterium. Its description in RNAcentral is "partial 16S ribosomal RNA". It matches the Rfam family "Bacterial small subunit ribosomal RNA", at positions 524 to 776 of the family's 1533-position model. The record is from RNAcentral.
UACAGAGGUCUCAAGCGUUGUUCGGAAUCACUGGGCGUAAAGGGUGCGUAGGCCGCACGGUAAGUCAGAUGUGAAAGCCCGGAGCUCAACUCCGGAACUGCAUCCGAUACUGCCGUGCUUGAGGACUGGAGAGGAGUCUGGAAUUCACAGUGGAGCAGUGAAAUGCGUAGAUAUUGUGAGGAACACUAGUGGCGAAGGCGAGACUCUGGACAGUUCCUGACGCUGAGGCACGAAGGCCAGGGGAGCGAACAGG